GUAAUUGCUUUCGUUAAUUGAUUAUUAUUGUUGUGGCCAAUAGAAUGUACACUUUUUUUCUCGUUAUUUUGUACUGGGUUAUGUAUUUAAAUAUUUGUAGCCUUUAUCCCUGUUAGUAAUACAAAAAAAGAAAACCAAAUUUAAUUAUAUUUAUUAUCUCCAGAGAUACUACAAUGGAUAUAUAUACGCUGGACAACAUGUAUGUAAUAUGUCAAUAAGUAUUGUUGAUUAUAUUUUUUAAAAUUUUAAAUGACCGACCUAUUUGUAUAAA
Cinara cedri is the source of this 271-nucleotide non-coding RNA. The record is from the annotation of a GenBank genome assembly. NCBI's taxonomy places the organism in Eukaryota, Metazoa, Arthropoda, Insecta, Hemiptera, Aphididae.